RNAcentral lists this ribosomal RNA (400 nucleotides) under uncultured bacterium. RNAcentral describes it as "bacterial SSU rRNA". It matches the Rfam family "Bacterial small subunit ribosomal RNA", at positions 357 to 774 of the family's 1533-position model. The record is from RNAcentral.
GGGAAUAUUGGACAAUGGGCGAAAGCCUGAUCCAGCAAUGCCGCGUGUGUGAAGAAGGUCUUCGGAUUGUAAAGCACUUUAGGCGGGGACGAUGAUGACGGUACCCGCAGAAGAAGCCCCGGCUAACUUCGUGCCAGCAGCCGCGGUAAUACGAAGGGGGCUAGCGUUGCUCGGAAUGACUGGGCGUAAAGGGCGCGUAGGCGGUUUUCCAAGUUAGAUGUGAAAUUCCUGGGCUCAACCUGGGGACUGCAUUUGAUACUGGGAGGCUUGAGUAUGGAAGAGGGUCGUGGAAUUCCCAGUGUAGAGGUGAAAUUCGUAGAUAUUGGGAAGAACACCGGUGGCGAAGGCGGCGACCUGGUCCAUAACUGACGCUGAGGCGCGAAAGCGUGGGGAGCAAACA